CCUGAUGCACAACAUUUGUGUUAAAGUUAAACUAUUCUCAUGGCUGAUAUCUUGUCCUGUUUUGAUUUUAAGUCUUCCAGGUCCCUUGCACCAUUAGCAGAGGAGUUUGGAAUGAAAUUGCCAGAACACAUCUGUGUCAUGUGGACCCCGCCCCCCCUGACGCGGCUCUGACGGUAUUUAGGCAGACCACGCCAGAGAGAGGGCGCUUGGUGAUUGUGUGUGAGCUAAUGUGUGAGCUACCUCCGUGAGACCACGGGCUCCACAGGCUCAGCUACUG
This is a non-coding RNA of Pelobates cultripes (western spadefoot toad), 277 nucleotides long. Lineage: Eukaryota; Metazoa; Chordata; Amphibia; Anura; Pelobatidae. The record is from the annotation of a GenBank genome assembly.